Molecule: ribosomal RNA, 479 nt
Filed under: uncultured bacterium
Lineage: Bacteria
Description: bacterial SSU rRNA
Rfam family: Bacterial small subunit ribosomal RNA
Source: RNAcentral
AGAGUUUGAUCCUGGCUCAGAGUGAACGCUGGCGGCGUGCUUAACACAUGCAAGUCGAACGGCAACAGAACUAGCUUGCUAGUUGCUGACGAGUGGCGCACGGGUGAGUAAUAUAUAGUUAAUGUACCUUCAAGACCGGGAUAGCCAUUGGAAACGAUGAUUAAUACUGGAUAUACCAUUCUAACUUAAGUUAGACUGGGAAACGUUUUUUCGCUUGAAGAUCAGACUAUAUCCCAUCAGUUAGUUGGUAGUGUAAGAGACUACCAAGGCAAUGACGGGUAGCGGGUUUGAGAGGAUGAUCCGCCACACUGGUACUGAGACACGGACCAGACUCCUACGGGAGGCAGCAGUGAGGAAUAUUGCACAAUGGAGGAAACUCUGAUGCAGCAACGCCGCGUGGAGGAUGACGCAUUUCGGUGUGUAAACUCCUUUUAUAUGUCAAGAAAAUGACGGUAGCAUAUGAAUAAGCACCGCUAACU